AAGCGAAUAGUAUUACAAAGCUUUUAUGUUAUAAUUCGUAUGUUUGAUAAUUGAGUUCGUCCCGCGCGGUCUGCCGCCGGCCAAGGUCCCGUGCGAUUUCGGGCCGUGAACCCUGUCAGGUCCGGAAGGAAGCAGCAGUAAGCGGUUUACGGAGUGCGCCGCGGGUCAAGCCUUACCGACGGCAGUUUGGGCGGGACGAACUUUUUGUUU
RNAcentral lists this unclassified non-coding RNA (210 nucleotides) under Ruminococcaceae bacterium YAD3003. RNAcentral's name for it is "Bacterial large signal recognition particle RNA". The stretch from base 80 to 180 matches the Rfam family "Bacterial small signal recognition particle RNA". Lineage: Bacteria; Bacillati; Bacillota; Clostridia; Eubacteriales; Oscillospiraceae. The record is from RNAcentral.